This 2846-nucleotide long non-coding RNA is filed under the name Malus domestica (apple). RNAcentral's name for it is "long non-coding RNA (MDOM_LNC013704)". The record is from RNAcentral. Lineage: Eukaryota; Viridiplantae; Streptophyta; Magnoliopsida; Rosales; Rosaceae.
AGUGUUUUUUUUAUCAUCGGAAUCUCCUGCCCAAUCACUAUCGCUAUAUCCAAUAAGUUUGUAGUUACUAUAACUGGAAUAGAACAAGCCAAAGUUAAUAGUACCUUUAAGGUAUCGAAGAUUUCUUUUGACCAUCUUCAAAUGUGUAGUUGUGGGAUUCUCCAUGUAGUGACUGACUAAUCUGACGACACAGAGAAUAUCUAGUCUUGUGUAAGUCAAGUAGCGCAAGAUUCCAACUAGACUUUUGAAAAAUGUUGGAUCUACGCUUUCUCCUUUGUCAUGCUUGGUUAGUUUGACUCCGCACUCCACUGGUGUGCUUAUGGGCUUGCAGUCGUCCUGUUUGAACUUUUUCAGUAUCUCCUUUGUGUAGUUUUCUUGGGAGAUGAAAAUACCUUCUUCGUUCUGUUUGACUUCAAUGCCUAGGUAGUAUGCCAUCAACCCGAUGUCAGUCAUCUUGAAUUCUUCAAACAUGUUUGGAUUAUUUCUUGUGAAUAUUAGAUCAUCCACAUAUAAGCACACAAUCAGAAUAUCUUCAUCUUUGACUUUGACAUAGAGAGCAUGUUUAUGAGGGCACUUGAUGAAGUUGUUCUCUUGAAAGUACUUGUCGAUGCGACUAUUCCAUGCUCGUGGUGCUUGUUUUAACCCAUAGAGGGCUUUCUUCAGCUUCAGAACUUUGUAUUCAUGCCCUUUGAUUUCAUAGCCUGAUGGUUGCUAAAUGUAGACUUCUUCUUCAAGGACUCCAUUUAGGAAAACGGACUUCACAUCCAUUUGUUGAAUCUUCCAUUUGUUUUGAGCUGCCAAAUAAAUUAGUAAUCGUAUCAUUUCCAAACGAGCAACAAGUGCAAAUACCUCAUCAUAGUUGAUUCCGGCUCUUUGACUAUAGCCAUUUGUCAUUAAUCUAGCCUUGUAUAUUUCGACCUCUCCGUUGGAAUUUUUCUUUGUCUUGUACACUCACUUAACUCCGAUGGCUUUGUGUCAUUUCGGAAGAAUAGCGAGUUCUCAUGUAUCAUUCUUCUAGAUUGCUUCAAUUUCUUCAUCCAUUGCUUUCCUCCACUUAGUAUCUUGCACUGCUUCUUGGAAGUCAACUGGUUCACAAUCAGCAAAGAGACAGAAAAUCAUAGGAUUAUCAAGUCUUUUAGCUACCUCAUAGAGAUCUCGUAUACUUCUUGUGCGUGUGACUUCUCUUUCAUUUAGACUCCCUGUUGAACAACAAAAAUAUACAAAAUAAAAAAUAGAGUCCAUACAAAUUUGGUCAAACUACAAGGUAAAACAAAAAUGUUAUUCAACCCAAAAGAUGAGGAUGGGUUUUACAUACAAAUCAACAUCCAUAAAUAAAUAAAUAAAUAAUAGAAUAUGCAUUUCUUCCUACAAAAGGGGAAAGAAGCGUACAAAAAACAGGUGCUCCCCCAUUUUCUGCAAUAAAAAGAAACGUGGAGUCAGAAAUAGGGGUUAACAGAAAGUGGCAAGAGGUGAUGGCCUCCAUCUCCCCCCACGUAACAAACUCUAGAGCCUUCCUAGGAUGCCUAUAAAUAGGCAUCAACUGCAGCAAGAGAAAAACACAGAAAAUGAGAGGGGAAACUCUGCAGAAAAAAUAGAGAAACUUUGAGAGAAAAUACCAAAAGCAACAAGGUGCUGCCAGAAAAGAGAGCAAGCAGUUUGAUCCUUUGUGCUUUCGAGUCAAGAUCCAAAAGAAGAAACAUUCAUCACCAGGUAUGAAACAAGUUCUAUUAAUUUAUUUAUUUCUCUUGUUUGAUGUUGUGUUGCAGACAAAAAUGAAGAAAAUAGGGUGUAAUCAGUUACCUAGAGUCUUUAACCUUCAGUUUAUACAAGAAAAUUGCAACAUUUAAAAGAGAAAUGAAGAAAAGGAUCUGGAGUCCCCACUGACAGCAGCAGAAAUAAUCUCCAAAAUCCCAUGAAUUUCUUCGAGGUGGCCUAAACCACCCCGUGAAGUUCCAAUCAAGUCUAAGAAAUCCGUAUUCAUCGUCCAUCCUAAGAAAGAAGGAACCAUUGGUGUCAUGGCAAGCAAUAGAUUUGUAAAGAAAUAACAAAAGUUUCGAAUCCAAAUAUCGACCAUAACCUGUUUUUGUUAUUCAAUCAACAACAGUGCAUGAUAAGAGCAUAUUUAUACGACUUAGUUAACAUGUUUUCUUGCACUUACUUAGUUAGUUAUUGCUUAUAAGAGUGUUUUAAGCUAUUUUCGUGUGUUUGUAGGUCCUAAUGGCAAAGUUGGCAAGAAAGUGCAAUUUGGAGCAAUUUAGAGCAGUUUUUGGCCAAGAUUGGAUAGCUUAUGCAUGGAGCAAGAUGGAUGGACGAAUUUGAAGUCAAAAGAGGCUAGAAACACUCACCCACUACACCCAUUACAUCCACUCAUUACCACAACAUACACUAUCCUCUCCCUAGCCUAUAAAUACAUCCACAAUUCCCCUUCCUAAAGGGGGCCAUCAUCCAAAGACACUACAAAUCCAUCCAAGAAGCUACAUUCACAAACACUUUCAUCCCUUUCCUUGUCGUGACCUCCAUCCAUUCAUCUAGCCAUACUACAUCUAACCAAUCCAUACACUUUCAUCUCUUAGCCGUGAGAUCCAUUCCAUCCAUAUAUCCAUACACAUCCUAGACACUUGUGUUGCAACAAGGUGGUGAAAACAAAGGUCCUUGGCGUUUCAAGCUUGGAACUUUGGAGCGUUUUAGGUGUACUUCGUUCUUGCUUUCAAUGUCUACUUUGUUAUUUUCUAAUUUUGUUGCAAUUAUGAGUGGCUAAACCCCUAUUUAGUUAGGGGGAAGUUUGAAGCCAUGAACAGGCUUGAGAUAUGAAUUGAUUUCUUCCAAUUGUGAUUUGAUAAGUUGUG